AGUGAACGCUGGCGGUAGGCCUAACACAUGCAAGUCGAACGGCAGCACAGUAAGAGCUUGCUCUUACGGGUGGCGAGUGGCGGACGGGUGAGGAAUACAUCGGAAUCUACUUUUUCGUGGGGGAUAACGUAGGGAAACUACGCUAAUACCGCAUACGACCUACGGGUGAAAGCAGGGGAUCUUCGGACCUUGCGCGAUUGAAUGAGCCGAUGUCGGAUUAGCUAGUUGGCGGGGUAAAGGCCCACCAAGGCGACGAUCCGUAGCUGGUCUGAGAGGAUGAUCAGCCACACUGGAACUGAGACACGGUCCAGACUCCUACGGGAGGCAGCAGUGGGGAAUAUUGGACAAUGGGCGCAAGCCUGAUCCGGCCAUACCGCGUGGGUGAAGAAGGCCUUCGGGUUGUAAAGCCCUUUUGUUGGGAAAGAAAAGCAGCAGGUUAAUACCCCGCUGUUCUGACGGUACCCAAAGAAUAAGCACCGGCUAACUUCGUG
Molecule: ribosomal RNA, 491 nt
Filed under: uncultured bacterium
Lineage: Bacteria
Description: partial 16S ribosomal RNA
Rfam family: Bacterial small subunit ribosomal RNA
Source: RNAcentral